GAUGAACGCUGGCGGCGUACCUAAUACAUGCAAGUCGAGCGAACAGACGAGGAGCUUGCUCCUCUGACGUUAGCGGCGGACGGGUGAGUAACACGUGGAUAACCUACCUAUAAGACUGGGAUAACUUCGGGAAACCGGAGCUAAUACCGUAUAAUCUAUUGAACCGCAUGGUUCAAUAGUGAAAGACGGUUUUGCUGUCACUUAUAGAUGGAUCCGCGCCGCAUUAGCUAGUUGGUAAGGUAACGGCUUACCAAGGCGACGAUGCGUAGCCGACCUGAGAGGGGGAUAGGCCACACUGGAACUGAGACACGGUCAAGACCACUACGGGAGGCAGCAGUAGGGAAUCUUACGCAAUAGGCGAAAGCAUGACGGAGCAAGGCCGAGUGAGUGAUGAAGGUCUUCGGAUCGUAAAACUCUGUUAUUAGGGAAGAACAAAUGUGGAAGUAACUAUGCACGUCUUGACGGUACCUAAUCAGAAAGCCACGGCUAACUACGUG
This 497-nucleotide ribosomal RNA is filed under the name uncultured bacterium. Its description in RNAcentral is "partial 16S ribosomal RNA". It matches the Rfam family "Bacterial small subunit ribosomal RNA", at positions 28 to 507 of the family's 1533-position model. The record is from RNAcentral.